This 48-nucleotide non-coding RNA is filed under the name Schistosoma margrebowiei. The record is from RNAcentral. Lineage: Eukaryota; Metazoa; Platyhelminthes; Trematoda; Strigeidida; Schistosomatidae.
AUCUAGCUGACGAGUUGCAAAUAGGACGAAGUGACGCGCGUCCUUGAU